UCUUGGCUUAGUUAGGAGGCGUAGAGAGAAGGAUACUAUGAAUCCUCCCAGGCCCUUUUGAGGGAACAUCAUGACUGCAAUAUGGUGUUCUCCAAGCAGCCUUAGAUAUUA
Molecule: small nucleolar RNA, 111 nt
Organism: Ananas comosus (pineapple)
Lineage: Eukaryota; Viridiplantae; Streptophyta; Magnoliopsida; Poales; Bromeliaceae
Rfam family: Small nucleolar RNA U19
Source: Rfam